AGGAUAAACGCUGGCGGCGUGCCUAACACAUGCAAGUCGAACGCGCUUUCGGGCUUCGGUGCGAGAGCGAGUGGCGGACGGGUGAGUAACACAUGGGUACCUGCCUUUCAGUGAGGGAUACCGGCGAGAAAUCGCCGACAAUACCGCAUGGGCUUGUGGGAACACAAGCAAAGUGGCGCAAGCCACGCUGGAAGAUGGGCCUGUGGCCGAUUAGCUAGUUGGGGGGUAACGGCCUCCCAAGGCGACGAUCGGUAGCUGGUCUGAGAGGACGAUCAGCCACACUGGGAUUGAGAACGGCCCAGACUCCUACGGGGGCAGCAGUGAGGAAUUUUCCGCAAUGGAGGCAACUCUGACGGAGCAACGCCGCGUGCAGGAGGAAGGUUUUCGGAUCGUAAACUGCUUUUCUCGGGGACGAGCAAGGACGGUACCCGAGGAAGAAGCCCCGGCUAACUACGUGCCAGCAGCCGC
RNAcentral lists this ribosomal RNA (468 nucleotides) under uncultured bacterium. Its description in RNAcentral is "SSU rRNA". It matches the Rfam family "Bacterial small subunit ribosomal RNA", at positions 26 to 518 of the family's 1533-position model. The record is from RNAcentral.